This is a non-coding RNA of Colius striatus (speckled mousebird), 107 nucleotides long. The record is from Rfam. NCBI's taxonomy places the organism in Eukaryota, Metazoa, Chordata, Aves, Coliiformes, Coliidae.
GUGCUUGCUUCGGCAGCACAUAUACUAAAAUUGGAAUGGUAUAGAGAAGAUUAGCAUGGCCCCUGCACAAGAACGACAUGCAAAUUCAUGAAACGUUCCAUAUUUUG